GUGGGAGGGGGCUUGCCCCCGAUGACGGUGUGUCAGUCAGGAUUAUUUUCAGCUGAUACACCGCUAUCGGGGGCAAGCCCCCUCCCAC
RNAcentral lists this unclassified non-coding RNA (88 nucleotides) under Pseudomonas orientalis. The record is from RNAcentral. Lineage: Bacteria; Pseudomonadati; Pseudomonadota; Gammaproteobacteria; Pseudomonadales; Pseudomonadaceae.